RNAcentral lists this small RNA (28 nucleotides) under Bombyx mori (domestic silkworm). Its description in RNAcentral is "ovarian small RNA-7111". Lineage: Eukaryota; Metazoa; Arthropoda; Insecta; Lepidoptera; Bombycidae. The record is from RNAcentral.
UCAUUCGUUUCAAGGCCCACUGGGGAAC